AUGGGUUUCUCGACACCCAACAUCUGGAUUCAGCCCAUCCUCCUCCACAUCUGUAUCGCUGUCCACUUUGACCAUCUCGUGUCCGCUUUGCAGUUCUCCAGGAUGUGGACUUGGGGUCUCCAUCUCCACAUCCGUGUUUCUCUGUGCAUUCUGGGUUAUUUGAUGUGGUUUUGGAUCCCUGCCUUCUGCACUCGAAGGCUCCUCAUCCACAUCUGUAUCGCUGUCCACUUUGACCAUCUCGUGCCCACUUUGCGGUUCUCUAGGAUGUGGACUCGGGGUCCGCAUCUCUGCAUCCAGGUUCCUCUGUGCAUUUUGGGUUAUUUGAUGCGGUUUUGGAUCCCUGCCUUCUGCACUCGAAGGCUCCUCAUCCACAUCUGUAUUGCUGUCCACCAGUGGGGACCGGCAUCUCAUUUUGGGUCCCUCAGCAUCUUGACCUCGGGUCUCCACACCUGGGUCUCUGUGGGUCAUUGCGUGGGGUUUUGGGCUGACAACAUCUGGAAGGAUGUUGUCUUCAACGUCCGUAUCACUGUCUACCACAAGCAUCCAGUUCUCCUUUUGGCAUCCGUCAGCAUCUGGGUUUGGAGUCUCCAGCUCAAUAUUUGGGGGUUUUGGUGCGUUUUGGGCCGUUUGAGGGGUUGGGAGGCACACAACAUCUGGAUUUGCUCUGUCCUCUUCCACAUCAGUAUCGCUGUCUACUGUGAGCGGUGGAUGUUCCUCAUGGGGGCCUUUAACAGCUGAAUGUGGGCUCUUCAUCUUUAUGUUUGAAGAGUUCGGGGUGUUUUCGGUCGUUUGAGGGGUUUUGGCCAGCCCAACAGCUGGAUUUGCUCCACCUUCCUCCACAUCUGUGUCACUGUCCACCCCGAAUGCCUGAUGUCCACGUUGGGGAUCCUCCACAGCUGAAUUUGAGCUCUCCAUCUCCACAUCCGUGUCACUAUCCACCACGAGCGUCUGGAAUCCAUUUUUCGAACUGCCAGCAUCUGGAUUUGGGGGCUUCAUCUCCACACCUGGGGCUUUUGGCACCCUUUGGGCCUUUCGACGCAUUUUUGGGCAUCCAACAGACGGAAGAACGUCAGCCUCCUCCACGUCCGUGUCGCUGUCCACCGCGAGCAUCCAACGCCCAUUUUGGGCACCUUCAGCACCUGGAUUUGGGCCUCGUUUCUCCACAUUUGGGUCACCACUUGCCUCCAGGGCGGCCUGGUGACGGUUAGGGUGAAAAAGAGCAGAUUUUGGGUGCAUCUCGUCAUCUGUAUCGCUUUCAAUGCCAAGAGCCACUGUGCUGCCUCCCAGGUGCUUCACAUCUGGAUCCACCUGCCCUUUUGGGUUUGGGGAGUGAUUUUGGGGCCGAAUGUCUGAAAUUGCCGUUUUGUUCCCCACAUCUGGAGCUGGGGUAGUUUUGGGACACAAACGGCGCUUUUUGGGUCCCCCGACGUCCGGAUCCAGGUGGGAUUGGGCCAAAUCUGUGCGGAGGCCCAGGGCUGGGGUGGGACGGCGCUUUCGGAGCACGCGAAUGUCUGGGCACACAUCUGGCUCCUCCGGGUCGCUGCGGGGGCAAAUAUUGGGGUACGGGGUCUGCAGAAGGGACCAAGGGGUCCAGACCCCUCCACAUGACCCUGGUGGGGUCCUACCUACCUCUCUGGCACAACUUGGGGUGAGGCGGUGUUGCCAGUGGUCGGGCCUGGAGGGGACACACAUUGUUAUUAUAGGGUCUACAGAAACCCCGGGGAGGGGGGGAGGUCCU
This is a long non-coding RNA of Anser cygnoides (Swan goose), 1738 nucleotides long. Lineage: Eukaryota; Metazoa; Chordata; Aves; Anseriformes; Anatidae. The record is from Ensembl.